UACGUAGGGGGCUAGCGUUGUCCGGAAUCAUUGGGCGUAAAGAGCGUGUAGGCGGCCCGGUAAGUCCGCUGUGAAAGUCGGGGGCUCAACCCUCGGAUGCCGGUGGAUACUGUCGGGCUCGAGUACGGAAGAGGCGAGUGGAAUUCCUGGUGUAGUGGUGAAAUGCGUAGAGAUCCGGAGGAACACCAGUGGCGAAGGCGACACGCUGGGCCGUACCUGACACUGAUGCGCGACAGCAUGGGGAGCAAACAGG
Molecule: ribosomal RNA, 253 nt
Filed under: uncultured bacterium
Lineage: Bacteria
Description: partial 16S ribosomal RNA
Rfam family: Bacterial small subunit ribosomal RNA
Source: RNAcentral